RNAcentral lists this ribosomal RNA (167 nucleotides) under uncultured bacterium. RNAcentral describes it as "partial 16S ribosomal RNA". It matches the Rfam family "Bacterial small subunit ribosomal RNA", at positions 1326 to 1500 of the family's 1533-position model. The record is from RNAcentral.
UUGGAUUCGCUAGUAAUCGCGCAUCAGCCAUGGCGCGGUGAAUACGUUCCCGGGCCUUGUACACACCGCCCGUCAAGCCAUGGGAGCCGGGGGCGCCUGAAGUCCGGGACCGCGAGGACCGGCCUAGGGCAAAACUGGUAACUGGGGCUAAGUCGUAACAAGGUAGC